UCCCGACACAUAAUAAUCAGAACAUCAAAUGCA
RNAcentral lists this non-coding RNA (33 nucleotides) under Mus musculus (house mouse). Lineage: Eukaryota; Metazoa; Chordata; Mammalia; Rodentia; Muridae. The record is from RNAcentral.